Molecule: ribosomal RNA, 441 nt
Filed under: Synergistetes oral clone 20-67
Lineage: Bacteria; Thermotogati; Synergistota
Description: bacterial SSU rRNA
Rfam family: Bacterial small subunit ribosomal RNA
Source: RNAcentral
UUGGACGACGAUGCCAUGAAGUGGUAACACGGAAUGGUAUACGGAGUAGCGGACGGGUGAGUAAAGCAUGAGGAGCUGUCCUGUUGAGGGGGAUAACGUUCGGAAACGGACCCUAAUACCCCAUAGGCCGAGAGGUUAAAGGCAGAGAUGCGCGACAGGAGGUACUCGUGUCCUAUCAGCUGGUUGGAGAGGUAACGGCUCACCAAGGCGACGACGGGUAGCCGGCCUGAGAGGGUGACCGGCCACACGGGAACUGAGACACGGUCCUUACUCCUACGGGAGGCAUCAGUGGGGAAUAUUGGACAAUGGACCAAGAGUCCUGAACCAGCGACGCCGCGUGAACGAUGAAGUUCUUCGGGUUGUAAAGUGCUUUCAGUGGGAAGAAAGAAAUGACGGUACCACAGAAGAAGUGACGGCUAAAUACGUGCCAGCAGCCGCGGU